UACCUGGUUGAUCCUGCCAGUAUUCAUAUGCUUGUCUCAAAGAUUAAGCCAUGCAUGUGUAAGUAUGAACGAAUUCAGACUGUGAAACUGCGAAUGGCUCAUUAAAUCAGUUAUAGUUUGUUUGAUGGUAAGUACUACUCAGAUAGCCGUAGUAAUUCUAGAGCUAAUACGUGCAACAAACCCCGACUUCUGGAAGGGAUGCAUUUAUUAGAUAAAAGGUCGACGCGGGCUCUGCCCGUUGCUCUGAUAAUGCAUGAUAACUUGACAGAUCGCAUGGCCUUAGUGAUGGCGACGCAUCAUUCAAAUUUCUGCCCUAUCAACUUUCGAUGGUAGGACAGUGGCCUACCAUGGUGGUAACGGGUGACGGAGAAUUAGGGUUCGAUUCCGGAGACGGAGACUGAGAAACGGCUACCACAUCCAAGGAAGGCAGCAGGCGCGCAAAUUACCCAAUCCUGACACUGGGAGGUAGUGACAAUAAAUAACAAUACCGGGCUCUUUGAGUCUGGUAAUUAGAAUGAGUGCAAUCUAAAUCCCUUAACGAGGAUCCAUUGGAGGGAAAUUCUGGUGCCAGAAGCCGCGGUAAUUCCAGCUCCAAUAGCGUAUAUUUAAGUUGUUGAAGUUAAAAAGCUUGUAGUUGAACCUUGGGAUGGGUCGCCCGGUCCGCCUUUGGUGAGCACCGGUCGGCUUGUCUCUUCUGUCGGCGAUAUGCUCCUGGACUUAACUGGCCGGGCCGUGCCUCCAGUGCUGUUACUUUGAAGAAAUUAGAGUGCUCAAAGCAAGCCUACGCUCUGUAUACAUUAGCAUGGGAUAACAUCAUAGGAUUUCGAUCCUAUUGUGUUGGCCUUCGGGAUCAGAGUAUUGAUUAACAGGGACAGUCGGUGUAACACCCCCGAACCGUCCUAGGCAUAGGUCGACCCACCGGCCACAAUCAAACAAGAACAUGACCGACGGAUGACCCACACCAAGGGUUGGAGAUGAAAGGCCAACCGGCCAGCCAACAAUCAAACAAGAACAUGACUGACCGUCCAACCCAACACCAUGGUCCGGAAGCGCUACGUGACGGGUUAGGGAUGAUCCAGUCAGAGUAACAAACUUUACUCCACGACCUAGACCAGUUCAUCCGCUAACUCGUCCCGCUGCGUCAAGGCAUAAGGCUUUGCAACCCGUACCUAGAGUUAGCGUUUU
Molecule: non-coding RNA, 1185 nt
Organism: Brassica napus (rape)
Lineage: Eukaryota; Viridiplantae; Streptophyta; Magnoliopsida; Brassicales; Brassicaceae
Source: Rfam